Molecule: ribosomal RNA, 255 nt
Filed under: Mycobacterium sp. ITM-2017-0098
Lineage: Bacteria; Bacillati; Actinomycetota; Actinomycetes; Mycobacteriales; Mycobacteriaceae
Description: partial 16S ribosomal RNA
Rfam family: Bacterial small subunit ribosomal RNA
Source: RNAcentral
GGCGGGUCUCUGGGCAGUAACUGACGCUGAGGAGCGAAAGCGUGGGGAGCGAACAGGAUUAGAUACCCUGGUAGUCCACGCCGUAAACGGUGGGUACUAGGUGUGGGUUUCCUUCCUUGGGAUCCGUUCCGUAGCUAACGCAUUAAGUACCCCGCCUGGGGAGUACGGCCGCAAGGCUAAAACUCAAAGAAAUUGACGGGGGCCCGCACAAGCGGCGGAGCAUGUGGAUUAAUUCGAUGCAACGCGAAGAACCUU